AUGAGGACAAUGUCAGGAUACUUCACUGCGCUGGUGUCCGUCGGGUUCCUGUCCCAGCUCGUGCUCGCUGACGGGGCCAUUGAAUGUUCAGAGGAGGAAUCCCCGCUGAGACCGAUCUCCAGCACGGUACCCAAAGUCACGCGCUGUUUAAUGGAGUGCACCGGGAUGACUUACAUCCUAAAGCUGCAGCUUGAGGACCAGCGUAACAUACGGCUCACAGACGCCACAGAAGGGGAACUCGGGGAAUACUGUUGGUCCACGGAGAUCAAGUGCAUCAAAGGAGAGAGCUUCGAGCGAGCGUACGCGGUGCUGCCCGUGGAUUUAUCUGCAGUGGGACCUGACCGGUUGGAGGUUACAGCCACCGCUCCCGGUGCCACCACGCUGCGCGCGCACAGCGGCCGCUCCACCGUCGCGGACGACUGCGGCCUCCGUUACGACGUCACGGAGCAUUUCAGCACAGCGACGGCUGGGACGUCGUUCUGCAUACGGGUUAUGACCCCGGAGGACGUCCUGGGGGACACGGUGCUUAAAUGUCCUCCGCUACUGGUCACCUUCUGGCAGAGGAGUCCAAAUUAUCCCAACCAACGAGCCGGUGGCUAAAAAAGUCGCAGGUCUUUUACUUUUACCUGAACUAUAAAGUCCUCACGUACAAGCCCAGAUGUUGAGAAUAGUACACUGAGUGUAUUUAUACUGCUUGACGUUUUUCUAUAGGUUCAAAGAAGCAAAGAUGAUAUUAUUAAGGCUUAAUGUUGUGUGAAAAAGUCCAUUACAAAUGAGAUUAAACUCAGGAACAAUCACCUGGACUGGUUACAGUUUUCCCCCCUUUCUGUUAGUGUUCUAUGAUGCAGUCACCUUCAGAAACAAGCACAUUACUGUAACUGGAUUAGUACAAACGUUCUUUUCCCUCAUAGUGGUUUCAAUUUCCUGAAAAAAAAAACUUUUCAAAGACUAUGGAAGCUUAUUAAUAGUUAAAUCAUCCAAAGAAUUUUCUAACUUGCUGUUGUUUUAGAUGUACCGUAGAAGGCAAAAUAAAUUACUUUGCAUGUAUAAAUCCA
RNAcentral lists this long non-coding RNA (1055 nucleotides) under Betta splendens (Siamese fighting fish). RNAcentral's name for it is "lncRNA (ENSBSLG00000011155.1)". Lineage: Eukaryota; Metazoa; Chordata; Actinopteri; Anabantiformes; Osphronemidae. The record is from RNAcentral.